GCGGCGUGCCUAAUACAUGCAAGGUCGAGCGAGAAGCUUGGAAAUGACGCUUCGGUUGAUUUUCCAAGCGGACAGCGGCGGACGGGUGAGUAACGCGUAGGCAACCUGCCCCUGACAGAGGGAUAGCCAUUGGAAACGAUGAUUAAAACCUCAUGACACCGUAGUAGCACAUGCUACAUCGGUCAAAGAUUUAUCGGUCAGGGAUGGGCCUGCGUCUGAUUAACUGGUUGGUGAGGUAACGGCUCACCAAGGUGACGAUCAGUAGCCGACCUGAGAGGGUGAUCGGCCACAUUGGAACUGAGACACGGUCCAAACUUCUACGGAAGGCAGCAGUAGGGAAUCUUGCACAAUGGGCGAAAGCCUGAUGCAGCAACGCCGCGUGAAGGAUGAAGGCCUUCGGGUUGUAAACUUCUGUUCUAAGGGAAGAGAGAAAUGACGGUACCUUAGGAGCAAGCCCCGGCUAACUACGUGCCAGCAGCCGCGGUAAUACGUAGGGGGCAAGCGUUAUCCGGAAUUAUUGGGCGUAAAGAGUGCGUAGGUGGUUACCUAAGCGCAAGGUUUAAAUUAGAGGCUCAACCUCUACAUGCCUUGCGAACUGGGCUACUUGAGUGCAGGAGGGGAAAGCGGAAUUCCUAGUGUAGCGGUGAAAUGCGUAGAUAUUAGGAGGAACACCGGCGGCGAAGGCGGCUUUCUGGACUGUAACUGACACUGAGGCACGAAAGCGUGGGUAGCAAACAGG
RNAcentral lists this ribosomal RNA (739 nucleotides) under uncultured Clostridium sp. RNAcentral's name for it is "bacterial SSU rRNA". It matches the Rfam family "Bacterial small subunit ribosomal RNA", at positions 39 to 776 of the family's 1533-position model. The record is from RNAcentral. Lineage: Bacteria; Bacillati; Bacillota; Clostridia; Eubacteriales; Clostridiaceae.